AGCUAAUAGAUACCCAGGUAGUCCACGCCCUAAACCAUGUCAACUGGGUGUUCGGGAAGCGAUUCCUGAGUACCGUAGCUAAACGCGUGAAGUUGACCGCCUGGGGAGUACGGCCGCAAGGUUAAAACUCAAAGGAAUUGACGGGGACCCGCACAAGCGGUGGAUGAUGUGGAUUAAUUCGAUGCAACGCGAACAACCUUACCUACCCUUGACAUGUCUGGAAGCCCGGUGAGAGCUGGGUGUGCCCGAAAGGGAACCGGAACACAGGUGCUGCAUGGCUGUCGUCAGCUCGUGUCGUGAGAUGUUGGGUUAAGUCCCGCAACGAGCGCAACCCUUGUCCCUAGUUGCUACGCAAGGGCACUUUAGGGAGACUGCCGGUGACAAACCGGAGGAAGGUGGGGAUGACGUCAAGUCCUCAUGGCCCUUAUGGGUAGGGCUUCACACGUCAUACAAUGGCCGGUACAGAGGGUUGCCAACCCGCGAGGGGGUAGCCAAUCCCAGCAAAAGCCGGUCGUAGUCCGGAUUGCAGUCUGCAACUCGACUGCAUGAA
RNAcentral lists this ribosomal RNA (550 nucleotides) under uncultured bacterium. RNAcentral describes it as "bacterial SSU rRNA". It matches the Rfam family "Bacterial small subunit ribosomal RNA", at positions 767 to 1324 of the family's 1533-position model. The record is from RNAcentral.